This is a non-coding RNA of Fukomys damarensis (Damara mole-rat), 468 nucleotides long. NCBI's taxonomy places the organism in Eukaryota, Metazoa, Chordata, Mammalia, Rodentia, Bathyergidae. The record is from the annotation of a RefSeq genome assembly.
AGCUCUUCUCUUAGCUCAGGGCCAGACUCAGCAAGACAGCCUAGAACUUCAGCCUCAUUAUACCCCUGAAAUAUGAAGCGGGUGACAACAGUGACUGUGCUCCUGAUUCUGGGCACCGGGAGCCUUGCUGAGACCACUCAGCCCAUCUCCACGGAGUCCUAUGAGGGCCAAGAAGUGAACUUGACCUGUGACCACCCCGACAUUGCUACAAAUGAGUACAUCUUCUGGUACCGACAGGUCCACCACCAGGGACCACACUUUGUUAUUCAAGGGUAUAAGACGAACGGGGCGAAUGAAGUGGCGUCUCUGUUUAUCCCUCAAGACAGGAAGUCCAGUACCCUGAGCCUGCGCCACGUUGCCCUGAGAGACACUGGUGUGUACUACUGCACUGUGGGCGGUGCACAGUGAGACAUCUGGCCCUGCGCCUGUGCAGUAUCCCUCUGUUGUGUGGCAGUCACACCUGGGAGA